GCAGAGGAGGUUGGGUGACUAUACCGGCAUGCAUUGCGUCUCAUUAUUAUUCACAAUUGUGAUUUUCGACAAACGUUUAGUGAAAAGUUGUUGAAAUAUAUUGCGAUUUUUAUCUUUGAAGAUAUCAUUUUUUCGAAGGUAUGUUUUUAUAUUUGAAUUAUUUAAGAACCUAAUUAAAUUAUUUUUGACUUGUUUGGUACAGGAAUUGCUUUUUAGUUAAGUUAAUUACGUAUUGUAUUUAUGCUUGAUUCGGGUCAGUGGACACGCCACAAAAGUGGCUUUCAAAAAAUGCAGAAGCUACUUUCAUUUUUUUGAUGGGAAAUUAAAAUAAAACACGUCAGCGAGUUAAUGAAAGUUUAUUCUUUCCAUUCGUACUUUAAAACUCAAAGUAGCUCGACGAAAUCGACUAGUAAUCGCGGUUUGAAAAUGGGGUACUUUUGCUAUAUUCUUUCGCCGAGGGCGGGAAUUGACUGCGCGGUUAUCAUUUGGCGCGAAGUAAAAACUACAGUACGAAUCACUAUUUUCUUCAAACUCUUUGGAACAAACGCAUACAUGUUUCCACAUUUAACUAUACUGAGUCUACUGACCGUGUUUCAGAAUCCUGGAUUAAAAUAUUACUGUAAAAUAUAAUAAAAAUACAGUAUGACUGAAGGUUGUUCAACUGAAGAGAAAUUUCCGAUUUAAAUAUUGAAGUUUACACUGUUUAUUUUGUACUUUCCUAGCAGAAAGAUUUAUCAGACUCCUAUAAAGAAGUCCUCAGUAAAAUAUCAUAAAUGGACCUUUGAGAAAGAUAAGGCACUUACUGAAUUCAUAUCAAUUAUCAAAACAGAUCCAAAGUAUCAGUAUGGAACACAUGUUGGAAAGCUGGCAUCGUUUAACCCAUUGAAGCUGCAGAGCUUCCCCAUUGACAAGUAAAAUCGUCUGGCGUUAGACAAGUAAAAAAAAAAUAAGUUGGGCGCAUGGCGGCUCAAAAUGGGUUAACUAGAGACAUUGUCAGAUUUUUUGAUUAACCCAUUAAGGGAGUGGUCAUUAUUUAUGGGGAGGGGGUUGGGAAAUGGGAGGGCAAACAAAGUUUUACCCUUAUAAAUAGGGGAGGUCAAAAAAGUUUUAACGCAGAGAAAGGGGGGUCAAAAAAGUUUUUGAACUUAUAAAUACCAUGUCUAGAGUUCUGAUUUAUAUAAUCACAAAUAGCAAAAAAGAAGACUCUGAAAAUGCUGUUGUUAGAGCUCUUUAUAAUAGGUGUAUUACCUGCAAAAUUCAAAACAAAUAGAUGUUUCCAUCAAAGGUCCUAUUUGGCAAUUUAGUUGUUUUGAUGUUUCAAGUAAAAUUGUCAGGUCAUAGAGCAGCAAUAUGAUGACACAGAGUGAAAAUGUGUUCUUAUCAUAAAUUAUACCACUUUAUCUGUUUUUCGUACUUUAUAUAGAUUGCCGUCUACAAACAUGAACAACUGUUUGCUACAGAAAAAAGUUUGCAAGAUGCUGACAUCCAUUAUCGUUUGACACAAUCUGACAGUUUAGCAGAACUUAAAUCUAAGUAAAUCUAAUCGUAAAUCUAAGCCUGUCAUGGAAUCAGCAACAGAGUGUGGCCAUUUUGAUGUGGUUAUUUUGCAGUGAGGGUCAAACACAAAUGAUUACAAUUUUACAGGUUUACAAAGAAAUAUAAUUCCUCUAGAAUGUUCAAUGUACAUCAUUAAGAGAAAAAAGCAUCACUAUUCGUAUACAGUAUAUUUUUAUCAUUCACCUUUCAUGUAGCAUAAUUAGAGUAAUAUUAACAUUUUUUGUAGUUUGACAGAAAUACAUUUUAUUGAACAUCAAUUCUGUGUGAUCUGUUUACUUAAGUAUCUUUUAUAAGAGUGAAAUAAAUAAAACCAUAUCAUGUGUUAAGACUGUUAGCAGGUAUUUAAUUAAUCAGUUCAUUGUUUAUUACUAGCCAUAUAAAAUUGCAGAAUUGGUAAAAUGGCAUCACAGAAUACCAAACACUUAUGCUACAGCUGCAUAUAAUAGGAAAUGCCAAGAAAUAACCUGCAGGGCAAAUAAAAUCUGGGUAUAACCACAGUCAGUUCUCAAUACAGUACAAACAAAAAACAGCACUUGAAACAAAUCAGGGAAUUUAAUAGGUCAGGAUGAAGUUCAAACCAGAGUUUUGGGGUCAAAUACACAAUUUAUGUAACCACUGUAUAUUAUUUUGUGUUGCCAGAUGACUGACCCUUGACCUGUUAUUUUGAGUGCUAGAAAAGUCAGUAUUACAAGACUCUGCCAAAACCAAUUUUUCAUUUCUAUUUAUGGCUAACACUAUUAGUAGUGGUUGUUUCAAUGCAGUACAGCAUAGCAUCACACAUUUCGUAUGGUAGUACAGCUGUGAUUCUUUUUAUGCCAAGAUAGUAAGCCUUCCAUUGAAGAUAUUGAGAUGAAGGGUAUUGUAAUGCAACCAAGGUUCACAGCUAUAUUGAAGUACCAGUAACAGCUUUCAUCUCCAGAGCUAUAUCACCAUCAUUCACCACAUCACAUCCAGAUGUUCUUCAUCCUGUUUAUGUCAUGGCAAGAAUAUCCUUUAUGUGUAACCACUUCCAUUGAUGAAAACAACUGAAAGAUAAACAAAGAGAGCACAGACUUUGUUAUGCACUGUCUUUAUAGGUGUACAAGACCUACUACGUAUCUCAAUUGGGCUGCUAAAACAACUAAAACAUGCUUUCUACAAAGCUGUGGCAAUUAUCUUUAUCACUGAAUAUUUUUAACAAAUAACAUUGCCUGGUGUUAGGCAGAAUAAAAUAAUAAAGUAGGUUGCAUUUAUACAGUAUCAAGUACAUUGCAUCGCAAUGGAGUUGACUGACAUGAAUUAAUUUUCCAGUCCUCAAUCAAAUAUUCUCCCCCAGCUAAAUAAAACUAAACAUCGUAUAUUUAUAAUCAUGUCAACAUUUUCAAAGGAUGCACAAACUUUUAUAAAUUAGGCAACACAAUGGAUUAAAGUAAACAACGUGCAUCUAAUUAAUCAUCUUACCGUAAAAAUGCAGCUCGAAUUGUAUUUCUAUCAAUGCAGGACUGCAUCCAGUGAACAUUUCGUAGACUUUCUUUCAAUUCCAUUUAUAUAAGCAAGUAAACAACCGAUGGACAUAGCCGAUAGCGCUAUUCUCACAUUCUCACGACAUUCAAGUUCGACACAGCAAUCCGCUUGGGAUCAAGAUUAAAGUUUCUUUAGACACGCACUCACACAAUGAACAAACACAAGCUCUUGUCCAUUCAAUACUGAAACAUUUUCCCCUCGAAUGCAGCGAAAACUUGCCAUUUUAGUUGCAAUAUAAAUUGAAAUACUUCAUUACCUCUCCAGUUCUGACUUCCGCGAAAGCUACCGAACAAUGACGUGCACUGCCGAGAAAUCGAUAAUAUGUAACAAAAUGUGCCUGACCGCAAUGCAUGCCGGUAUAGUCACCCAACCUCCUCUGACAAUUAGUUAAAGCGGCAAUCCCUCUAUUUUUCCUCUUGUCUCCGCCCCUUUUUGCCAUUUUCCCGCGCGUUCAAUCUUAGUCCGGGAAACAAUAAAACGAAGGAAAAUAGAG
Molecule: non-coding RNA, 3553 nt
Organism: Paramuricea clavata
Lineage: Eukaryota; Metazoa; Cnidaria; Anthozoa; Malacalcyonacea; Plexauridae
Source: the annotation of a GenBank genome assembly